GGGCGCUUAGCUCAGUUGGUAGAGCAGCUGACUCUUAAUCAGCGGGUCGUAGGUUCGAACCCUACUGCGCCCACCA
Molecule: transfer RNA, 76 nt
Filed under: Holosporales bacterium
Lineage: Bacteria; Pseudomonadati; Pseudomonadota; Alphaproteobacteria; Holosporales
Description: tRNA-Lys
Rfam family: tRNA
About the family: Transfer RNA (tRNA) molecules are approximately 80 nucleotides in length. Their secondary structure includes four short double-helical elements and three loops (D, anti-codon, and T loops).
Source: RNAcentral